RNAcentral lists this ribosomal RNA (468 nucleotides) under uncultured bacterium. Its description in RNAcentral is "partial 16S ribosomal RNA". It matches the Rfam family "Bacterial small subunit ribosomal RNA", at positions 28 to 507 of the family's 1533-position model. The record is from RNAcentral.
GACGAACGCUGGCGGCGUGCUUAACACAUGCAAGUCGAACGGAAAGGCCCUGCUUUUGUGGGGUGCUCGAGUGGCGAACGGGUGAGUAACACGUGAGUAACCUGCCCUUGACUUUGGGAUAACUUCAGGAAACUGGGGCUAAUACCGGAUAGGAGCUCCUGUUGCAUGGUGGGGGUUGGAAAGUUUCGGCGGUUGGGGAUGGACUCGCGGCUUAUCAGCUUGUUGGUGGGGUAGUGGCUUACCAAGGCUUUGACGGGUAGCCGGCCUGAGAGGGUGACCGGCCACAUUGGGACUGAGAUACGGCCCAGACUCCUACGGGAGGCAGCAGUGGGGAAUAUUGCAAAAUGGGCGGAAGCCUGAUGCAGCAACGCCGCGUGCGGGAUGACGGCCUUCGGGUUGUAAACCGCUUUCGCCUGUGACGAAGCGUGAGUGACGGUAAUGGGUAAAGAAGCACCGGCUAACUACGUG